UAUUUGUUUGAUAUUAUGAAUGUUCGGAUGUUUGAUUUUGGCACGGAGUACCCGCCAUAGUGUGUGAGCCCAUGCACAAUUUACCUGCACUUCAUUCACUGCUCUCACUGGACGUGACAUCUCCGUCUGACUUAUAACGUGACGUCUGCGUCUGACUUUUUUUUUUUUUGAUUGCAGUUUUUACAUAGUCUUUUUCCCGGCCAACUCAAUAUACAUUAAUUGUGGGCAUAUUNAAAUAACAAAAGCAAUCCUUUAGCGAAGUUUGUGUUGCUUAUAGGUCGACUUAUGUCAUUUUUCAGGGGUGACUAAGGGGUAAAAUACUAACUUUUAAAAGUAUUCAUAAUGGUUCUGUAGGAAUUUCUGACAUCAAUAUUCCUUCUGUUUUACUUUAGCUUUGGAGAAUAGGUUGUAUGCAUCAGUGGGGAAGAUGAUUGCUGUGUGUGUCGUCCAUGGAGAAGUUGGCCCACAUUUCUUCUCCGAAAGGCUUUCUCAGCAGAUCUGUGGUAUGCCAACAUCCUCUGCCUCAGUGGAUGAGGUUGGAGAUCAUACAUUGAGGAAGCAACUAAUCAAGAUACAGGAAGCAACAGCUGUUCAGGAGGCAUAUUGUGCCAUUACAGAAGCAGCAGACAGCUUAAAUAUCAUUGGUGCCUUGAAAUAUAUAUCACACCUGACAGAAAGGAACUCUCUUGUCCAGUCAGCGGCAGAGUUCUUUGUAAAUGGAAGACUGCGAGCUGCCUUGGACCAGUCGGUGUUUAUUGGCUGCUUCGACUGCCAAUCAUUUCUGAUGUCAUGAUGUCCUGCCCAUUUGCUGAUGCGCCAGCUGUAUUUAAGGGCUUGAUUUGACCGUGUGUGGCGUGCGCCAGGUCAGCGUACCUCGUGCUCCAACGCGGCCAGUUGUUUCGGGCUAUUGCCAUUUGUUUCUCCGGUUAACUCACUUUGUGCAGUCUUGCUUUGUGACGUGAGCUUUGAUCUAUAUAUAGAUUUGUAGAUAACAACGUCCGUGUUGGAAUUUUUGCCAUCGUGCCGUCAAAUUAAAGUUAAUCCAUCUAACUAAGUAACAUAGCCAUGAGCUUUUUGUUUUUGGUUUUGGUUAGAUUAAUUUGUAUUAUGUUAGCCUAGGUUAGUGAGUGUCGCACCACCCUUGUAUUUUUGUUUGUAGAUUAUGAUAGUUUAGCUUGUGCGUCAUAUGCGCUGAAGAUUUCGGUUUUAUUUUCACAUUUUCUUUUGUUAGUUUAGAGGUUAGUCGUAAGGAUUGGCUUAUUCUGUUUAUUUUGUUUAUUUGGAUGACACUUCUGCAUCUUUUGUGUAAUGUUAUUUAAUACUACCUUUUUACACAAUUUUAGGUACAGUUACAACUGAGUACAGCUUUUAUUAAUUUAAAGUUCCACUUAAGAAGCACCUUGAAG
Cyprinus carpio (common carp) is the source of this 1406-nucleotide long non-coding RNA. Lineage: Eukaryota; Metazoa; Chordata; Actinopteri; Cypriniformes; Cyprinidae. The record is from Ensembl.